AUCCAACUUGAUCUCCUGCUUGUUUUCCAUCUCCAGUGAACAAGGGAGAGAAGGGAAGGUGGAACUCCUGAGCAGUACCUCCUCACAAGAUCCAUGGAAAGCUCUUUUUGUUGUGAUGGUGGUGGUGUCUGUUUGCAUGGUUGGCUUCAUUUUCUACCUCCACCACAGACAGAAGAGAGCAGGAUACAUGGCGGCCAAAAAAGAUGAAGAUCAAACAGAUUCAG
Molecule: long non-coding RNA, 224 nt
Organism: Chanos chanos (milkfish)
Lineage: Eukaryota; Metazoa; Chordata; Actinopteri; Gonorynchiformes; Chanidae
Exons: 4
Source: RefSeq, a predicted model, not a curated record